This 89-nucleotide transfer RNA is filed under the name bacterium. RNAcentral's name for it is "tRNA-Ser". It matches the Rfam family "tRNA". Rfam says of the family: Transfer RNA (tRNA) molecules are approximately 80 nucleotides in length. Their secondary structure includes four short double-helical elements and three loops (D, anti-codon, and T loops). The record is from RNAcentral.
GGAGGAGUCGGAUAGUGGUUUAUUCCACCGCACUUGAAAUGCGGCGGCCCGCAAGGGCCUCGUGAGUUCGAAUCUCACCUCCUCCGCCA